ACCCGCUGAACUUAAGCAUAUCAAUAAGCGGAGGAAAAGAAACUAACAAGGAUUCCCCUAGUAACGGCGAGUGAAGCGGGAAGAGCUCAAAUUUGAAAUCUGGUGGCCUCAGGCUAUCCGAGUUGUAAUCUAUAGAAACAUUUUCCGCGUUGGCCCAUGUACAAGUCUCUUGGAAUAGAGCGUCAUAGAGGGUGAGAAUCCCGUCCUUGACAUGGACUACCAGUGCUUUGUGAUAUGUUUUCAACGAGUCGAGUUGUUUGGGAAUGCAGCUCAAAAUGGGUGGUAAAUUCCAUCUAAAGCUAAAUAUUGGCGAGAGACCGAUAGCGAACAAGUACCGUGAGGGAAAGAUGAAAAGCACUUUGGAAAGAGAGUUAAACAGUAUGUGAAAUUGUUGAAAGGGAAACGAUUGAAGUCAGUCGUGUCUAUUGGACUCAGCCGGUUCUGCCGGUGUACUUCCUUUAGAUGGGGUCAACAUCAGUUUUGAUCGCUGGAAAAGGGCAGGAGGAAUGUAGCACUCUCGGGUGAACUUAUAGCCUUCUGUCGCAUACAGUGGUUGGGACUGAGGAACGCAGCUUGCCUUUAUGGCCGGGAUUUAUCCACGUACAAGCUUAGGAUGUUGACAUAAUGGCUUUAAACGACCCGUCUUGAAACACGG
RNAcentral lists this ribosomal RNA (655 nucleotides) under uncultured fungus. RNAcentral's name for it is "eukaryotic LSU rRNA". It matches the Rfam family "Eukaryotic large subunit ribosomal RNA", at positions 23 to 664 of the family's 3401-position model. Lineage: Eukaryota; Fungi. The record is from RNAcentral.